GAAAUCAGUUCAGCACUAAGUCACUUUGUCUAUAUGGCAAAUGUGAGAUGCAGUGUAUGGAACAUCAAUAUUCUAGUAUGAGAAAUUAACGAUUUAAGUCCUUCUUAAAUGAGGCCAUUUACCCAUAGAGGGUGCCAGGCCCGUAUAACGUUAAUGAUUAUUAGAUGGUGUUUCCAAAGAGUCGUGUUGCUUGAUAGUGCAGCACUAAGUGGGUGGUAAACUCCAUCUAAAACUAAAUAUAACCAUGAGACCGAUAGUAAACAAGUACCGUGAGGGAAAGUUGAAAAGAACUCUGAAUAGAGAGUUAAAUAGUACGUGAAACUGCUUAGAGGUUAAGCCCGAUGAACCUGAAUAUCCGUUAUGGAAAAUUCAUCAUUAGAGUUGUAAUAUUUAAACAAUAUUAUAAUAAUAGUGUGCAUUUUUUCCAUAUAAGGACAUUGUAAUCUAUUAGUAUCAAUAAUUUAUCAAAAAAUUUAAGAAAAUAGUUUAUUUAAAUUAAAGUGCUUGCAUUUUAACAUAAAAUAAAUUUCAUAAAUUUGAUAAAGUGCUGAUAGAUUUAUAUGAAUACAGUGCGUUAAUUUUUCGGAAUUAUAUAAUGGCAUGAUUAUCAUUGAUUUUUAUGUUUAUUAUAUGCACUUGUAUGAUUAACAAUGCGAAAGA
RNAcentral lists this ribosomal RNA (660 nucleotides) under Drosophila subpalustris. Its description in RNAcentral is "eukaryotic LSU rRNA". It matches the Rfam family "Eukaryotic large subunit ribosomal RNA", at positions 100 to 630 of the family's 3401-position model. Lineage: Eukaryota; Metazoa; Arthropoda; Insecta; Diptera; Drosophilidae. The record is from RNAcentral.